UUUGAUGAUUUACACAAUCGAUAAGGUUAGGAGUUUUACUAUCAUUCAAAAUACUCUUAAGUCUGUUUAUCUAUCUAUCUAUCUAUCUAUCUAUCUAUCUAUCUAUCUAUCUAUCUAUCUAUCUAUCUAUCUAUCUAUCUAUCUGACAGAUUGACAGAUAGAAAAGUCAGAUUAACUGAAUACCAUUUAAUAAAUCAAUAGCAAUCACUACAAAUAAGGUAGUCCCUGAAAAAUGGAUCAUAUAAAUCUUUAUUUCUUCAUUUGUUCUGAUCAAAAUGUAUUUGCCCAUAGGCAUCUGUCCAUUUGGCUAUUCGUUGAGUUUUGAAAUUUAAGUAUGCACACUAUGCAUAAAUGAGCCAAAAUAGUGUCAUUUCACAGCAAAAGAAAAAUGUCUUAAUUGCUUCUUUUUUUCACAAAGACAUUAAUUACUGACGGAAAUAAGCACACACACAUGCAUACAGUGAAUAACAGGGAGUAGCUGAGAUUAAUUUGUCUCCUGUUGUCACUAAAACUGUUUAAAUUCAAACAAUAGAAUACUAUUUUUCCAUUUUGAGCUAUCCUAAUUUUUAAUGGGUACAUGCAGAAAGUAGGCUUAAAACCCACAAUGUAUUCCCAACUUCUAACAAAAAUGUUAAUCAAAGAAUAAUGUAAUUACAAAUUACAACUUAACAAUUUUAUGAAAAACUGCAUGAAGAAAUCCAGUGAGACUCCAGGGUCCAUGUGUACAAAAAGAUGUGACCUCUCUAAAUUCUGACUGUGCCCAGAAUGAGAAACAGAAAUGGAGCAAUGAAAGAUAGCUUCCUGGUUAAAUGGAUGAGUUGUGUUGAACUGAACUGAACUGAACUACAUUUGGCAGAAGGGAAUAAAAAAGUUUCAAAUCACGUAAGAACCAAGGCACCAUGCAGGAUCUGCUAUUAAUCUGUGAAAGAAAAAAAUGCACAAAGUUUCCUGCUUGAUUCAGUGAUGCCUACCUUUGUGUAAUGAACAUGUGAAGACCGAAAUUGAAGCUGCCAGUUGGUCAUGAACCAAAGAGAUGAUCUUUGAGACAGUGGACUAAUUGACUACAACUUGUUGGGAAUUGGCUUUGAGACCCUUCAUAGACUCAGGUUACAUUUAAACCAGCAUUUCUUAAACAUCCAAGACUGCACUAAGAUGCAAAGGAUGAGAUUCCCAGUCAUUAGUGAAAAUGAAAACAUCAUCCAGAUUAUGAACAUGGUGAUGAAGUUUCAAAUUCAUUCACUGCCCUACUUUCAUCAACGAAAAAAGAAAUUGCAAAAAUCUUGAAUUGUCGGGAGCACACAGCACGAUCGAUCAGUUCACAAUAUGGAGAUGAAAUGAAGAAAAAGACAAAAACAACUUUAAGAACUUUACUUUUAAAGGCUCAAGGCAAGUAACCUGCUUCUUCAGUACUCUGUAACCAAAAGACCAUUAUAUUGUCUGCUUUUGUUCCACUAAGUACAGAAUAAAAAAAAUGAAAACCCAAGAAGGAACACAAUGGAGGUCUGUUCAGCUGCAGUUAAUGACAUUAUUGUGUGAAACAUUUUUUGUUCUCUUCACAUGACAAAGUAAAUGCUGCAUUAUGAUUCAGCUGUAUGAUAUCUCAAAAAACGUUUUUCUUGUAAAAAGUGCUUUCCUCUAAUUGUUUCUGACAUAAAAUGUUUAUGCUGUCCAAUUAGUGGGGUGUGUGAAAUGCAUAUUUGUGUGGCUCUUCCAAUAUACUUUAAAAUGCUGGCUAGUCUCUUGACGUAGAUACAAAUAUUUCAAUGAUUUGCCUUUUUUGUAGAUUACAUGGGGUAUAACAUUUUAUAUGCAAUUGUUAAAAUGUGUGGGAAUUAGCAGAUAUAAUGUUCUAUACUUGCAUUACAUAUCACUUGCCAUAGCAGAACAUCGACUAAAUACUUGUAACAUGAAAUUUGGGGCACUGAAAGAGACACUUAUAUUUGCUUUCUCUUUUUCAUUUAAAAUUUUGUGUUUGGUAUAAACAUCCAGCACUUGAACUUGUGGGAUCAAUUUCUCAUUUUUUGGGAAUUAUUGUCUGUUUUUAAACACUUGUGUGUACAAGUAAAAUGCAUUAAAUCUCUAUUUUUUUAUGUAUCAUAUAUGUUUUAUAUAAAAUGAAUCAGUUACAGCAGUGACAUUAUUUUUAGAUUAAAUAAAUGUGUAUCUAUUUAAAUAAUGCCAGCCCACUUCUGACUUGCACCCCCUAUAUUGCAUAUUUUACUAGAAAGAAACUUUAAAGUAUUAAAAUGUAUACAGUUUUUUUUGUUUAGGGUUUUUUUUUUUUCAUUUUAUUUUUAAGCCUUUCUGGCACAAUUUAAUUACAAUGAUGAUAGAGAAGCAGAAAUUUCAUUGAAUCACUGCCAUUUUUUAAGUGUAUUUAUUUAUUUUUUACUCAUCAGAAUGUUGUAUUACUGUAAUUUAAAACAUCUACCUCAAUGUUUAAUUGUUUGUCAUUGAAAUUACUUAAUGCCUUGUCAAAUUCUUGUAUUGUACGAGUGAUGUUUCUUUUCUUCUAAAGCAAUAAUUAAAAAAUGUUAAGUCUGAACCUGUAAGCGGUGUUAUCAACUGUGAUGUGCAGCAAUUGAAAAUGUACCUGUAAACCUGUUGUAUGAUUUAAAUUCAGACAUGUGCUCCAACAAAGGCUUUUAAUAUUGUGUAUCUUAUUCUGUUAUGAAAUCACUGCAAAACUGAUUCCCUACAAUCAUUCUAAAACACUCUGAGAUUCAUAGUGGUGUAAAACAUCAUUGGCAAGCAGUGCUAAUAUAAUUCUCAAAAGAUCACUCAAAUCCUUAAAGAAGUAUAACAAAUUGUUGAUAUGUCUAUUUACAUCUAUAAUGAAUGUAUGUAGAAAAGCUGUUUAAAACAUCAAUGCCAAGUGAAGUUGAUCUAAGCUAAAUUAAUUUGAUCUGUAUUUUCUCUUUUCAGAAUUCAAAUGUUAAUCAAAUGGGCUAAAUAAUGAUUACUGAUAAAGAAAUGGGUACA
Polypterus senegalus (gray bichir) is the source of this 2982-nucleotide long non-coding RNA. RefSeq lists it as uncharacterized. Lineage: Eukaryota; Metazoa; Chordata; Cladistia; Polypteriformes; Polypteridae. The transcript is spliced from 4 exons. The record is from RefSeq and is a predicted model, not a curated record.